UAAUUUCACCGUUUCCCUGAAUUCCUAGCCGAAAGCGAGUCAUUUACUUUGAUCGUGAUCACAACAAUACAGUAACUACGACAGACAGCAUAGUGCGUUUCAUUAGAACAAUACUAAUGAAAAAUAUCAAUUAAAAAUUCCGUGAUGCCUUCCCAUGUCACGCACGAUAUUCGAUUUUUCGUCUAAAGGAGCAUCGUUGAUGGUAUAACGCCUUGGUUAAUGGCAGGUGCAGAACAUGCAUAUACGCAUUGAAACGUUUUUGAACACGAAACGAUGAUUGUGUAAGUGAGCGUGCGUGUACGCGCUGCAAGCGGGGCAAGUAUUGUAAUUAAACUAUGCAAGCUAUUUUACACUUAACUACAUUAAAAGAAGACUAUUUACGCUCAACUACACGACACACAAGAGCUAACCUGUGAGAGUAGAUUACGAGUAGUUCUACACCAGCGUGCGCGUGCAACGUUAUACACUACUCUUGCGCUUGUGUAUAAUUCGAUACGAGGCCACGAAUUUAAUGGCUGACAAAAUGUCACUAUAUCCGUUGAGCUUUUGACUAUCGAACUAUCACAUAUCGAUGUUUUAUCCUGGAAACUAAAUAAUCGAGCAAACGAAUAAUGAACGGGGAUGGCCUCGAGAAGAAAGGAAGCCUUUGACAUCGGCGUGCACGAGCGACUCCUUUGAUACACGUGUCUUUCCUCUGUACAUCAUGAAAGAAAAUCAAGCGUCUAAGGAGAGGAUCGAACGAACGGUUGAAUAGUAGACUGAUUGUCACAAGUAUACCGUCAGACACAAAUUAGAUCGGGAAACAACGUUUAACCAUCGAAGAACGCG
Molecule: long non-coding RNA, 828 nt
Organism: Bombus impatiens (common eastern bumble bee)
Lineage: Eukaryota; Metazoa; Arthropoda; Insecta; Hymenoptera; Apidae
Exons: 3
Source: RefSeq, a predicted model, not a curated record